UACGAAGGGGGCUAGCGUUGCUCGGAAUUACUGGGCGUAAAGGGCGCGUAGGCGGAUAUCUAAGUUGGGGGUGAAAGCCCGGGGCUCAACCGAGGAACUGCAUCCGAUACUGGCGGGCUUGAAUCCGGGAGAGGGAUGUGGAAUUCCAGGUGUAGCGGUGAAAUGCGUAGAUAUCUGGAGGAACACCGGUGGCGAAGGCGGCAUCCUGGACCGGUAUUGACGCUGAGGCGCGAAAGCUAGGGGAGCAAACGGG
Molecule: ribosomal RNA, 253 nt
Filed under: uncultured bacterium
Lineage: Bacteria
Description: partial 16S ribosomal RNA
Rfam family: Bacterial small subunit ribosomal RNA
Source: RNAcentral